Molecule: ribosomal RNA, 253 nt
Filed under: uncultured bacterium
Lineage: Bacteria
Description: partial 16S ribosomal RNA
Rfam family: Bacterial small subunit ribosomal RNA
Source: RNAcentral
UACAGAGGUCCCAAGCGUUGCUCGGAAUUACUGGGCGUAAAGCGUGCGUAGGCGGUUUCGCAAGUCCGCUGUGAAAGCCCCGGGCUUAACCUGGGAAUGGCAGUGGAAACUAUGGGACUUGAAUCUGGCAGAGGGGGGUGGAAUGCCACGUGUAGCAGUGAAAUGUGUAGAGAUGUGGCGGAACACCGAUGGCGAAGGCAGCCCCCUGGGCCAAGAUUGACGCUCAGGCACGAAAGCGUGGGGAGCAAACAGG